This is a long non-coding RNA of Drosophila yakuba, 1217 nucleotides long. RefSeq lists it as uncharacterized. The transcript has 2 exons. Lineage: Eukaryota; Metazoa; Arthropoda; Insecta; Diptera; Drosophilidae. The record is from RefSeq and is a predicted model, not a curated record.
UACCUCCAUACAUUUUCAAACAUUCAUCUAUUAAAAUGCUAUUUACCUUUAAUGUAAUAUAUCGAGGAUCAACAAAAAAUUAAGGGUUUAUUAAGAAGACCCACCUGUUGAAUAUUUCAAAACAGCUGACCGAAUGGUAGCCAUACACAGUGAAGUGAUUUCAUAUUCGGAAAACUGUUUUAAAUGUUUAUAGGAUUAACAAAACAAAUUUCUUAAUUUACUGGAAGACUCCAAAGAGGAUGAGGACUUGAGGCUCUCGGCUUAAGGACUCGGGCUCUACCAAACCAAACGAAACUUACUAGAGCCUUUUACAACAAAAGAGAAAAAUAGAUGGAACAACCAACAUGCAGCUUGGUCAAUUGACUCACUUCAAGAGGAAACCCUUUUUGACGCACUGAAUCUGCCCAGAAACCACGCCUCAAGUCCUGAGUACAAGUAGCUCCUCCGGUUCCUGCCUGUUGAAACUUGGAUGCCGUAAGGUAGUUCCGCAAAACCUCUAAUUGUCGGGCGGUGGAGAGAGGUUUCACUGCACAUUGCGGCCCUUUUCAGGGAAUACAUCAAGUUUUUUAAGAUUCGCAAUGUGAUGGGGGUGGUCGGCUGCUCACACAUUCGGCUCCCGAGGCAGAACCAAGACGAUGCCUAUGGCAACCGCAAGAGACUCUUGUCAAUGAACAUCCAGGCUGUCUCAGAUGCGCAAUUAAGCAUUAUUUGACACUAUUUUCGACAACAGUCGAAUAAAACCCCGAUGGGAAGGCGGCCAUGAUGAUCCCCAUUAUAAAACCCACCGCGGAGACACAAAAUCGUCAUAAUGAACGCAAGCAUCGGCUUACAAAGUCAUCUCCAGAUGUUUUGAAAUCUGGAGGCAGAGGUUUCGCCUUGGAAUCCGUAUUGAUACUGCGAAAAUCGUAAUAUUUGGCUGUGCGGUCCUUCAAAACAUAUUAAUACAGGAAAAGGACUCAUUACCCCAAGCUUUUCUUGUCAUGGGCAUUUCUUUCGUUUUUUUUGACAAUGCGGAAAUCAAUAAGAAAUUGGAUGUCGCCGAUAAAACUCAUAGAAAAUAUAAUUAGUAAAUACUUUGAGAGCUAAUGUACAUUUUGAGAAUUUCGUCUACUUUUUGAUACUAAUCUAGACCAAAACUGUGAUAAAUACAGCUCAUGAAUCUUUUGAAGAGUCCUGCAAAUAAUAAUAACAUUAAACAUUUCAUUUGACAUACGAAA